This 2921-nucleotide ribosomal RNA is filed under the name Staphylococcus aureus. RNAcentral's name for it is "bacterial LSU rRNA". It matches the Rfam family "Bacterial large subunit ribosomal RNA". Lineage: Bacteria; Bacillati; Bacillota; Bacilli; Caryophanales; Staphylococcaceae. The record is from RNAcentral.
UUAAGUUAUUAAGGGCGCACGGUGGAUGCCUUGGCACUAGAAGCCGAUGAAGGACGUUACUAACGACGAUAUGCUUUGGGGAGCUGUAAGUAAGCUUUGAUCCAGAGAUUUCCGAAUGGGGAAACCCAGCAUGAGUUAUGUCAUGUUAUCGAUAUGUGAAUACAUAGCAUAUCAGAAGGCACACCCGGAGAACUGAAACAUCUUAGUACCCGGAGGAAGAGAAAGAGAAUUCGAUUCCCUUAGUAGCGGCGAGCGAAACGGGAAGAGCCCAAACCAACAAGCUUGCUUGUUGGGGUUGUAGGACACUCUAUACGGAGUUACAAAGGACGACAUUAGACGAAUCAUCUGGAAAGAUGAAUCAAAGAAGGUAAUAAUCCUGUAGUCGAAAAUGUUGUCUCUCUUGAGUGGAUCCUGAGUACGACGGAGCACGUGAAAUUCCGUCGGAAUCUGGGAGGACCAUCUCCUAAGGCUAAAUACUCUCUAGUGACCGAUAGUGAACCAGUACCGUGAGGGAAAGGUGAAAAGCACCCCGGAAGGGGAGUGAAAUAGAACCUGAAACCGUGUGCUUACAAGUAGUCAGAGCCCGUUAAUGGGUGAUGGCGUGCCUUUUGUAGAAUGAACCGGCGAGUUACGAUUUGAUGCAAGGUUAAGCAGUAAAUGUGGAGCCGUAGCGAAAGCGAGUCUGAAUAGGGCGUUUAGUAUUUGGUCGUAGACCCGAAACCAGGUGAUCUACCCUUGGUCAGGUUGAAGUUCAGGUAACACUGAAUGGAGGACCGAACCGACUUACGUUGAAAAGUGAGCGGAUGAACUGAGGGUAGCGGAGAAAUUCCAAUCGAACCUGGAGAUAGCUGGUUCUCUCCGAAAUAGCUUUAGGGCUAGCCUCAAGUGAUGAUUAUUGGAGGUAGAGCACUGUUUGGACGAGGGGCCCCUCUCGGGUUACCGAAUUCAGACAAACUCCGAAUGCCAAUUAAUUUAACUUGGGAGUCAGAACAUGGGUGAUAAGGUCCGUGUUCGAAAGGGAAACAGCCCAGACCACCAGCUAAGGUCCCAAAAUAUAUGUUAAGUGGAAAAGGAUGUGGCGUUGCCCAGACAACUAGGAUGUUGGCUUAGAAGCAGCCAUCAUUUAAAGAGUGCGUAAUAGCUCACUAGUCGAGUGACACUGCGCCGAAAAUGUACCGGGGCUAAACAUAUUACCGAAGCUGUGGAUUGUCCUUUGGACAAUGGUAGGAGAGCGUUCUAAGGGCGUUGAAGCAUGAUCGUAAGGACAUGUGGAGCGCUUAGAAGUGAGAAUGCCGGUGUGAGUAGCGAAAGACGGGUGAGAAUCCCGUCCACCGAUUGACUAAGGUUUCCAGAGGAAGGCUCGUCCGCUCUGGGUUAGUCGGGUCCUAAGCUGAGGCCGACAGGCGUAGGCGAUGGAUAACAGGUUGAUAUUCCUGUACCACCUAUAAUCGUUUUAAUCGAUGGGGGGACGCAGUAGGAUAGGCGAAGCGUGCGAUUGGAUUGCACGUCUAAGCAGUAAGGCUGAGUAUUAGGCAAAUCCGGUACUCAUUAAGGCUGAGCUGUGAUGGGGAGAAGACAUUGUGUCUUCGAGUCGUUGAUUUCACACUGCCGAGAAAAGCCUCUAGAUAGAAAAUAGGUGCCCGUACCGCAAACCGACACAGGUAGUCAAGAUGAGAAUUCUAAGGUGAGCGAGCGAACUCUCGUUAAGGAACUCGGCAAAAUGACCCCGUAACUUCGGGAGAAGGGGUGCUCUUUAGGGUUAACGCCCAGAAGAGCCGCAGUGAAUAGGCCCAAGCGACUGUUUAUCAAAAACACAGGUCUCUGCUAAACCGUAAGGUGAUGUAUAGGGGCUGACGCCUGCCCGGUGCUGGAAGGUUAAGAGGAGUGGUUAGCUUCUGCGAAGCUACGAAUCGAAGCCCCAGUAAACGGCGGCCGUAACUAUAACGGUCCUAAGGUAGCGAAAUUCCUUGUCGGGUAAGUUCCGACCCGCACGAAAGGCGUAACGAUUUGGGCACUGUCUCAACGAGAGACUCGGUGAAAUCAUAGUACCUGUGAAGAUGCAGGUUACCCGCGACAGGACGGAAAGACCCCGUGGAGCUUUACUGUAGCCUGAUAUUGAAAUUCGGCACAGCUUGUACAGGAUAGGUAGGAGCCUUUGAAACGUGAGCGCUAGCUUACGUGGAGGCGCUGGUGGGAUACUACCCUAGCUGUGUUGGCUUUCUAACCCGCACCACUUAUCGUGGUGGGAGACAGUGUCAGGCGGGCAGUUUGACUGGGGCGGUCGCCUCCUAAAAGGUAACGGAGGCGCUCAAAGGUUCCCUCAGAAUGGUUGGAAAUCAUUCAUAGAGUGUAAAGGCAUAAGGGAGCUUGACUGCGAGACCUACAAGUCGAGCAGGGUCGAAAGACGGACUUAGUGAUCCGGUGGUUCCGCAUGGAAGGGCCAUCGCUCAACGGAUAAAAGCUACCCCGGGGAUAACAGGCUUAUCUCCCCCAAGAGUUCACAUCGACGGGGAGGUUUGGCACCUCGAUGUCGGCUCAUCGCAUCCUGGGGCUGUAGUCGGUCCCAAGGGUUGGGCUGUUCGCCCAUUAAAGCGGUACGCGAGCUGGGUUCAGAACGUCGUGAGACAGUUCGGUCCCUAUCCGUCGUGGGCGUAGGAAAUUUGAGAGGAGCUGUCCUUAGUACGAGAGGACCGGGAUGGACAUACCUCUGGUGUACCAGUUGUCGUGCCAACGGCAUAGCUGGGUAGCUAUGUGUGGACGGGAUAAGUGCUGAAAGCAUCUAAGCAUGAAGCCCCCCUCAAGAUGAGAUUUCCCAACUUCGGUUAUAAGAUCCCUCAAAGAUGAUGAGGUUAAUAGGUUCGAGGUGGAAGCAUGGUGACAUGUGGAGCUGACGAAUACUAAUCGAUCGAAGACUUAAUCAA